RNAcentral lists this ribosomal RNA (253 nucleotides) under uncultured bacterium. Its description in RNAcentral is "partial 16S ribosomal RNA". It matches the Rfam family "Bacterial small subunit ribosomal RNA", at positions 524 to 776 of the family's 1533-position model. The record is from RNAcentral.
UACAGAGGGUGCAAGCGUUAAUCGGAAUUACUGGGCGUAAAGCGUGCGUAGACGGUUACAUAAGUCGGGUGUGAAAGCCCCGGGCUCAACCUGGGAAUUGCAUUCGAGACUGCGUAGCUAGGGUGCGGAAGAGGGAAGCGGAAUUUCCGGUGUAGCGGUGAAAUGCGUAGAUAUCGGGAGGAAUACCGAUGGCGAAGGCAGGUCUCUGGGCUGACACUGACGCUCAUGCACGAAAGCGUGGGGAGCAAACAGG